AUUCCAGCUCCAAUAGCGUAUAUUAAAGUUGUUGCAGUUAAAAAGCUCGUAGUUGGAUUUCUGGUUUGAUGCCCUGGCCCGCUGCUAUUUUGGUAGUGUGUGCCGGUUGUGCGUCUGCCAUCCUUCUAGGGAACGUUCCUUCUCUUCACUGAGCCGGGUUCGUGAUCUAGAUCGUUUACUUUGAAAAAAUUAGAGUGUUUAAAGCAGGCUUUUGCUAUGAAUACAUUAGCAUGGAAUAAUAAUCUAGGACUUCGGUCAUAUUUUGUUGGUUUCUGUAACUGAAGUAAUGAUUGAUAGGGAUAGUUGGGGGCAUUCGUAUUUAACUGUCAGAGGUGAAAUUCUUGGAUCUGUUAAAGACGGACUACUGCGAAAGCAUCUGCCAUGGAUGUUUUCAUUG
RNAcentral lists this ribosomal RNA (397 nucleotides) under Ebria sp. RNAcentral's name for it is "partial small subunit ribosomal RNA". It matches the Rfam family "Eukaryotic small subunit ribosomal RNA", at positions 582 to 975 of the family's 1831-position model. The record is from RNAcentral. Lineage: Eukaryota; Cercozoa; Thecofilosea; Ebriacea.